This 510-nucleotide ribosomal RNA is filed under the name uncultured bacterium. RNAcentral's name for it is "bacterial SSU rRNA". It matches the Rfam family "Bacterial small subunit ribosomal RNA", at positions 8 to 507 of the family's 1533-position model. The record is from RNAcentral.
AGAGUUUGAUCAUGGCUCAGAGUGAACGCUGGCGGCAGGCCUAAUACAUGCAAGUCGAACGGCAGCACAGCAGAGCUUGCUCUGUGGGUGGCGAGUGGCGGACGGGUGAGGAAUACGUGGGAAUCUGCCCAGUCGUGGGGGAUAACGUAGGGAAACUUACGCUAAUACCGCAUGCGCCCUUCGGGGGAAAGCCGGGGACCUUCGGGCCUGGCGCGAUUGGAUGAGCCCACGUCGGAUUAGCUAGUUGGCGGGGUAAAGGCCCACCAAGGCGACGAUCCGUAGCUGGUCUGAGAGGAUGAUCAGCCACACUGGAACUGAGACACGGUCCAGACUCCUACGGGAGGCAGCAGUAGGGAAUAUUGGACAAUGGGCGCAAGCCUGAUCCAGCCAUGCCGCGUGAGUGAAGAAGGCCCUCGGGUUGUAAAGCUCUUUUGUCCGGAAAGAAAAGCGCCGGGUUAAUACCCUGGUGUCCUGACGGUACCGGAAGAAUAAGCACCGGCUAGCUUCGUG